UGCCCAGGGCGACACACGUGCUACAAUGGCAUAUACAAUGAGACGCAAUACCGCGAGGUGGAGCAAAUCUAUAAAAUAUGUCCCAGUUCGGAUUGUUCUCUGCAACUCGAGAGCAUGAAGCCGGAAUCGCUAGUAAUCGUAGAUCAGCCAUGCUACGGUGAAUACGUUCCCGGGUCUUGUACUCACCGCCCGUCACACCAUGGGAGUUGAUUUCACUCGAAGCCGGAAUACUAAACUAGUUACCGUCCACAGUGGAAUCAGCGACUGGGGUGAAGUCGUAACAAGGUAACCGUAGGAGAACCUGCGGUUGGA
Molecule: ribosomal RNA, 312 nt
Filed under: Campylobacter coli
Lineage: Bacteria; Pseudomonadati; Campylobacterota; Epsilonproteobacteria; Campylobacterales; Campylobacteraceae
Description: bacterial SSU rRNA
Rfam family: Bacterial small subunit ribosomal RNA
Source: RNAcentral